GGACUACCAGGGUUUCUAAUCCUGUUUGAUCCCCACGCUUUCGUGCCUCAGUGUCAAUAACCGUGUAGCGAGCUGCCUUCGCAAUCGGUGUUCUAUGUCAUAUCUAAGCAUUUCACCGCUACAUGACAUAUUCCGCUCACCUCCACGGCAUUCAAGACAGAUAGUAUCAACGGCAGUUUCCGGGUUAAGCCCGGAGAUUUCACCACUGACUUACCUGCCCACCUACGCACCCUUUAAACCCAGUGAAUCCGGAUAACGCUUGCACCCUCCGUAUUACCGCGGCGGCUGGCAC
RNAcentral lists this ribosomal RNA (292 nucleotides) under uncultured bacterium. Its description in RNAcentral is "partial 16S ribosomal RNA". The record is from RNAcentral. RNAcentral also lists the same sequence under 1 other name.